This 827-nucleotide long non-coding RNA is filed under the name Monodelphis domestica (gray short-tailed opossum). Its description in RNAcentral is "lncRNA (ENSMODG00000042720.1)". The record is from RNAcentral. Lineage: Eukaryota; Metazoa; Chordata; Mammalia; Didelphimorphia; Didelphidae.
ACAUGAGUGAAGAGAAUACAUGUGGUCAGGAUAACUCAGUACUCUGGAACUAUCAAAUUUAUUCUUUCUGAUUCAAGAGCUGUCCAUGAAAAUUUUCCUUGAUGAACAUAAUUUCUUUGUUCAACGGAUACUGCUGUGGUCAAAUUGAUUUGAUCAACAUUGUGUUUGAUUCAGAUCUCACUGGGUGCAAUGUCUCAGCCAAGAUAAUUGAUCUGCUGGGUGACUUCUCUGAUUCUCUGCUUCCAAGUGGUUCUACUCAGGUGAAGGUAGAGAAGCAUUCUGGAAUACUUGCACCUGUGUUUGGCAGUCAGUUCAGCACUGAUGACCAGAAUAGCAAGGACCUAGCUUGGUGGAAUACAUAUGCUUCUGAAAAGAGACAUGAUCCCUACUAAUUACCUCAGAUGCCUAAAACAUUAUAUUAGAUUCAAGGAACAAGAACAGGAAAACAGCUUGGAGAUAUGUCUUUUUCCAGAGUCAUAGGUAAACAAGAUUCUGGGACAUAAUGUGGGAGGGAAUAUAAGAUGUUUUUUUUUUCCCUUUAUGGUAAAAAAUUCUGUGGUCCUCAGGAUAAGAGGGGCUCACUGUCAUCAUUAUCAUCAGUAAAAUAUUAAGGAAUUUCAGAGUCAAAAAUACUGUGCUACUCUUUCCCUCCCUCUCUUCUUCCCUCUCCUUCCUUCGUUCCUUCAUUCCUUUGUUCCUUCCUUCCUUUGUCCCUCCUUCUGUCAUUCUGUCUCUAUGUCUAUUUCUUUCUCUCUAUCUUUCUCUUUCCCUCCCUCCUCUUACCCACCUCACCAUCUGACUAAAAUAAGAACAUUAAGUAUUUCAAU